GUGCAUCUUUAUAUCUCCACUUGUGCACCUUUUGUAGACCUGGAUUCAACUUUCCGAGGAAACUCGGUUGUGAGGAAUUGCUUAAUAGGCUUUCCUUGUUAGUUUCCAGGGCUAUGUUUUCAUAUACACCUUAAGAAUGUAACAGAAUGUCAUUAUUAGGCUUAAUUGCCUUAUAAAACUAUAUACAACUUUCAGCAACGGAUCUCUUGGCUCUCGCAUCGAUGAAGAACGCAGCGAAAUGCGAUAAGUAAUGUGAAUUGCAGAAUUCAGUGAAUCAUCGAAUCUUUGAACGCACCUUGCGCUCCUUGGUAUUCCGAGGAGCAUGCCUGUUUGAGUGUCAUUAAAUUCUCAACCUUUAUUAACUUUUUGGUUAGUAAGUGGAUUGGAAGUGGGGGCAUGUUGGUUCUUCAUUGAAAUAAACUCCCCUGAAAUGCAUUAGCUGGUUGCCUUGUGCGAACAUGUCUAUUGGUGUGAUAAUUAUCUACGCCGUGGGCUAUUUGCCGUUUAUAGCACUGCUUAUA
RNAcentral lists this ribosomal RNA (521 nucleotides) under uncultured Hypholoma. RNAcentral describes it as "eukaryotic LSU rRNA". The stretch from base 187 to 340 matches the Rfam family "5.8S ribosomal RNA". Lineage: Eukaryota; Fungi; Basidiomycota; Agaricomycetes; Agaricales; Strophariaceae. The record is from RNAcentral.